Molecule: non-coding RNA, 289 nt
Organism: Pelobates cultripes (western spadefoot toad)
Lineage: Eukaryota; Metazoa; Chordata; Amphibia; Anura; Pelobatidae
Source: the annotation of a GenBank genome assembly
UGGAAAUGAUGAUCUUGAGAUUUGGGGUGGAGUGAAAAUGUCUGUAUAGCUUUUUUGAGUGCUAGUUAUUCUAGUAUUUGGAGGGGUGGUGGGGAAUGAGGCCUGUGGUUAUUACAAGGGGACCCUGAAUACACAUUGCUGUUAUUGGAGUGCAUCUGAGGAAUGUUGAACAAUAAAGGGCUUUACUGCAACAUUUCCGAUGAUUAGAGCCCUAAACUUGGUUCCCUUAAUAACCAGCACACCCUAAUAUCUCUGACAGGUGCAGAAUUAUGUCUCUGAUCUGAUCCCA